GGGGAUGAUCGGUUUCGACGAUGUGAUUUGAGACAGGUGAAGCGUGCCGAGGAUGUAGAGGACACUCGUUAAUACCCUCUGCAAAACAAUAAGUGCAGAAUCUAAGCGCACUGAUUUCGCUCUCGCUGCUUAAGCGCGACUAGCGAAUCUGCCGGCCUGAGUUAGCCUUUGACUCAGUUUCCUGGUAUCAGUUUAAAAGGCCACUGCCUUGCUUCCUGGUCGUAGGGGAGUAAGGGACGUUUAUACGAAUAGGUUUGGCAGCAUCAGUGUUUACGCAAGUGCUGGAGCCGAAAAAUACCGACCCGUAAACUGCGCACGGAGAAGCCCUGACGAAGGCUCAUCGGACCGGGGUUCGAUUCCCCGCAUCUCCACCA
This 374-nucleotide transfer-messenger RNA is filed under the name Rothia sp. (in: high G+C Gram-positive bacteria). It matches the Rfam family "transfer-messenger RNA". From Rfam's summary of the family: Bacterial tmRNA, also known as 10Sa RNA or SsrA, is named for its dual tRNA and mRNA-like properties. Lineage: Bacteria; Bacillati; Actinomycetota; Actinomycetes; Micrococcales; Micrococcaceae. The record is from RNAcentral.